AUUGAAUGCUGGCGGCAGGCCUAACACAUGCAAGUCGAGCGAGCGGCGGACGGGUGUGUAAUGUAUGGGGACUGCCCGAUAGAGGGGGAUAACUACUGGAAACGGUAGCUAAUACCGCAUACUAUCGGAUAACCCAUAUGGGAUUAGCUAGUAGGUGAGGUAAUGGCUCACCUAGGCGACGAUCCCUAGCUGGUCUGAGAGGAUGAUCAGCAACACUGGGACUGAGACACGGCCCAGACUCCUACGGAGGCAGCAGUGGGGAAUAUUGGACAAUGGGGGAAAUCCUGAUGCAGCCAUGCCGCGUGUAUGAAGAAGGCCCUAGGGUUGUAAAGUACUUUCAGUCGGGAAGCGGUACCGACAGAAGAAGCACCGGCUAACUCCGUGCCAGCAGCCGCGGUAAUAC
Molecule: ribosomal RNA, 403 nt
Filed under: uncultured bacterium
Lineage: Bacteria
Description: partial 16S ribosomal RNA
Rfam family: Bacterial small subunit ribosomal RNA
Source: RNAcentral